Molecule: unclassified non-coding RNA, 146 nt
Filed under: soil metagenome
Description: partial internal transcribed spacer 1
Source: RNAcentral
UAAUAAAAGUGUUUUAUGGCACUUUUCAAACAAAUCCAUAUCCACCUUGUGUGCAAUGUUUUUUUUUUUUUAAAUAAACACUUUAUUUUUUAAUUGCCAAUUUAUCUGAGGAUCAGUAUUAUUAUGAAUUAACUUAAUUCAAAAUA